This 72-nucleotide transfer RNA is filed under the name Camelus ferus (Wild Bactrian camel). It matches the Rfam family "tRNA". Rfam says of the family: Transfer RNA (tRNA) molecules are approximately 80 nucleotides in length. Their secondary structure includes four short double-helical elements and three loops (D, anti-codon, and T loops). The record is from Rfam by way of RNAcentral. Lineage: Eukaryota; Metazoa; Chordata; Mammalia; Artiodactyla; Camelidae.
GGAGGUAAAGCUCAGUGGCAGAGCAUGUAUUUAGCAUGCAUGAGGUCCUGGGUUCAAUCCCCAGUACCUCCA